Long non-coding RNA from Ailuropoda melanoleuca (giant panda), 2716 nucleotides. RefSeq lists it as uncharacterized. NCBI's taxonomy places the organism in Eukaryota, Metazoa, Chordata, Mammalia, Carnivora, Ursidae. The record is from RefSeq and is a predicted model, not a curated record. The transcript has 5 exons.
UGCGCCCGCCGAGCGGAGAGCGCAUGGUGUCUGUCUAGGCCUCACGGUCUUCAGCGAGUGCCUGCAUCACGCCUUACUAUUUCUGCAAUUGCAACAAGAGCUUCUGGCGUGAGAGGGACUUCUGGGAGCUUCUGGAGGCUUCUCGGUGAGUCCUUCGCCUCCCCGGCCUGGCCCCCUUCUGGUCGUCACACUCAGGCCACCCGGCUCACCAGCGCUCCUGAGACUUGGGCGUGCGGUGCCGCCCUGGAAUUCUGGGAGAUCCAGGACCUGAAGUCACUUACACCUAUAGUUUCAGUUCUGUCUAUGGCUUUAAUCUUCUGAUUGAACAUGCCACAAGCCAAGGACUGCCUAGAGCCACCGGAAACAGAAGAGGCAGAAAAGCGUUCUCCACGAGAAUUUUUAGAGGUGGUGCACCUCUAUGGACAAUUGGGUUUUGGACUUCUGGCUUUCAGAACUGUUGCAAACCUCUUCCAUGAGCCUCUUGUUUUUUAAAUGAAUAUGCGUGAUCAUCAUCUGCUUUCACACAGUAAAAGUGGAGUCACAGCAGUCUCAUGGAAAGGUAUGUUUCUUAUUAGAGGCACUGACAACACAGUGGUCUCCUGGUAAAAACAAACCAACUUUGAAGUUGUUCUUAUUGACGGUACCAAAAUAAGGUAGGAUUGUACUUUCACAUGGAACAUGAAGACAGCAUUUUUGUUACUCUAGGAGAAUCAGGGAGGGAAAAUAAAUCUAUAAGAUUUAUGGAAAUUAGGUGAAAUAUACUCAUUCAACAUGUACUCAGAUAAUUCUGUGUGCGUUUGUGUGCUUGCGUGCGCACGUGUGUGUUAGUGUCAUUGUUUAUAGUAUUUAAGACGUAGCCUUUUGUAAUUUCUCGUGCCUUCUUUUCUAAGUCUGAGAUACAACUUUGUUUUUAUAAACAUUUCCCUUUAGAAUGACUUAAACCUAGAAACUCUCAGCAGAUAAUACGAUGCUGCUAACAGUUCUUACGCCAUCACUAUUAAUAGAUCACUGUUCAGUAGCUCAAAAAUUAAGUGCAUUAUCUAAAUAGAAAAUUAUUUUCAAGAUUUUUAGGAUAAGGUUUUGCAUUGCCAUUAUGUCUAAAAGCAUGGGUUUCCCCCCACCUUGGUCACCAGUAGGGAAUCUUCACAUGCACUCAGUAAGUAUUUUUCUCACUUGCUCACAAGAAAAAUUGAUAUUUUGAAUGAGGGCUUUGGAGAGGAGAUGCUGGAAUCUCUUAGCUUAGUGUAUCAUGCAGAGGAGCUCCGAGGCAGGUAUUUUUCCCUCAAGUACUUCAGCUGCGACCUGAACUACUGGAGCUCAGAUUCAACAUAAUUGCAGCACAGCAAGGAGUCCCUUCUGGAAACCAGCUGCUUGAUCAAGGAUUCAUUUAUCAGGAGGAUUAUGACUCCAAACAUUUUUCUAAACUGUUGUGGCCAUUUAAGGGGGAAAAAAAAGAGAGGAGUCUGGGGAACUAAUUAGGAAGGAGUGGCUCCCCUCCGAGUCUUGACCUUAACCCCACUGAGAAAGUAUGGGAUUUACUUUACCUAAGUAAGAAAAGAACAUAAAUAGUUGGCAAAAAUGCUUUGUGGUAUGAGUUCCAGCAGGUAAUGAAUCGGCCUGAUACAGAGAGAGAGAAAAAAACUGAAACACAAGAAAAACUCCAAAUGCUUUAAAAAUAGCAAUUAAAUGUAUCAUUAUGGCAUUUAUUAUUUUGCACUUACUUUCCUGAUUACAAGGAAAUGAAUUGUGAUUAGCAAACAGAGUAUAACACGCAAACCAUAUUUUUUUGGUCUUUGGCAGGUUAUGAAGUUUUACCACAAUUGUGUUAUUCCCAUCAGUAUAUUGUGUUUUCUUUAUCCACAUUAAUGCCCUUCAUUAAUUUGGAAAAUCCUCAGGCUUUGCCUUACAGAAUAUCACUUCUGCACCUUCCCUACUCUGUCCUUUUCCAACUCCUGUUGAAUAUUAUACCUUUCCUUCUUAUUCUCCAUGUGUCUUAAUCCCUCUUUCAUUUUUUGAAUCUCCUGAAAUAUUUGUGUUACAUUCUGGAUAAUUUCAUUACAUUCCCCUUCCAGUUACUGAGCUGUUUCAAAUGUACUGCGGAAUCCAUUCGCUAGGAGUUCAAUUUCAGUGACUGCAGUUUUCAUUUCUCAAAGUUCCAUUUGUUUUUAAAGACAGAGUGUUCAUUUUUGAAAGUCUUUGGUUGUGUGUUGGGAGGACUUCAUAGAGUUUAUAGUCUGCGAAACUGAUAGACAUAGAAAUUUAGCUUCUUUGCAAGUCCAUCUCUGCUAUAAUAAAUAAACUGUCAGAUGGAAGAAAAUGUAAUCGAAAGCUCAGAUUAACGAAAACAAGGGCUUGCACAUCCUGUAUCGUUUACAGAGUUCUUUAGUGUACUGGUAUUUAGUUUGAUCUUCAUAGUAAUCUUAUGAGGUGCUUACUCUUAUUUCCGUUUUAUGAGUAAUGAAACUGAGUCUCAGAGACUUACCUAAUGCCCCCAAACUAAUAAUAAGUAGAACUGAAAGUACACCCAUGCUCAAUGCCUCUCAAUCUAUUCCAUAAUUUCCCAGUAUAUAACCUUAAAUAAUUUUUGUGUCUUUACCAUGGGAUAGUGGAGGGCUGAGUAAUUAGGGAAAGGUUUGCUUCAUUUCAUUAUCUAAGAACUAAACUUUUUUUGGAAAAAGCUAAUGAGGCUUAGCCCAAGAUAUCUCUAAAUAUUUUC